CUCUAGCCCCAACUGUGCCAUGACUAUCAGGCUCCUCUGCUACGUGGGCUUUUAUUUUCUUGGGGCAGGCCUCAUGGAAGCUGACAUCUACCAGACCCCAAGAUACCUUGUUAUAGGGACAGGAAAGAAGAUCGCUCUGGAAUGUUCUCAAACCAUGGGCCAUGACAAAAUGUACUGGUAUCAACAAGACCCAGGAAUGGAACUACACCUCAUCCACUAUUCCUAUGGAGUUAAUUCCACAGAGAAGGGAGAUCUUUCCUCUGAGUCAACAGUCUCCAGAAUAAGGACGGAGCAUUUUCCCCUGACCCUGGAGUCUGCCAGGCCCUCACAUACCUCUCAGUACCUCUGUGCCAGCAGUGAAUACACAGUGCUACAUGGAUACCAACACUCCGCACAGAAAGGGUCGCCUCUAAGGUGAGGACAUCUUGCCUCCAGAAACCUCAUCUUAAACUACAGAAACCCCUACAAAUCUUCCCAGACUCCUCAGCCUUGAGGGACCAGUGUGCUUUAAGUAACAGUCUGGACUAAAGACUAUCUCUGGCUCAGUCUCUAACAAGCUGAGAAAUGACCCAGCCCCACAGUUAUCCUAGCUGACUUCUUCCUUGCUUCUAGUUGUUGUUGUUCAAUUGAGCUUGCACAAAUUUUAUCCUUCAAGAUAAAUGUGAUAAUAUUUGACAGUUACCUUAUGGCUAGCUGAAGAAAGUCUUUGUCAGCUAAGAAACAGGAAAAGGAUCCUUUGACUUUCUGCACAGGCUGUCUUUAUCUCUGGUUCAUGGUUCCUUCCUCAUGUUAAACUUGUUCCUUCAUACACAGCCACACAAAGUCCCUGCCCUUUCCUGACCCCAGUCCUGCACCUGACGGCUUCAGUUCCUCAAUCUAUGACUUUGAACUUAGAAUAAAAUUUUAUUUUCACUUGAAAUAAGUGAUUAAUGAUUAUUUUCACUAAUAUCCCUCUAAAUAAAUGUAAUUUUAGCUAUAUCUGCAUGAGGCCUAAGGAAAAGAAAAGGCUCCAACUUUGGCAAAGAAUAGUCUUUAACAAUGUCCCUGGAUUCAGCCCUAAAUCUCUUUGGAGACUACCCUUAGCAUUGGAAGACUAUCCCACGGCUAGGUGAUUCUUCUGUCUUGGAUAUGCUGAAUCUCAGGGAAGUGUUCUCUAUCCACAUGAGAUCACACCUGGGACCCUGAAUAGAUUUAUUUUUCACAGAAGUAUAGACUGCUGUGGGGCCCUGGAUGCUGAGCUCAGAUGUGAAAUCUCUGUUUUGAGGUUACCAAAAAGUAAAGUCACAGAGUCUCUGUCCUGGUUUUGCCUCCUUAAAAAGUAGCUUUAAUAUGUUAGAAAAGAAUCUAGAAAACAUCAUACAUAUUUUAUUGUAAAAGUCAUUUCUUGUUCAUUCUUCUUUUCUGUUUGUUUUCUACAAUACUAGCCAUUCCUCACUCUUCUUUGUGGGCUCUUUCUAUUCUCAUUUUCCUUAUUUUGACCUUAUUUCUGGACUUUUUGUUCUUUUCCUCUUAACCUAUACAUACAUCUUAGACAAUAUCAUCCAAUCUAUUACUUGAAGCAUAUGUCUCAUUAGUUUCAAACUUAUUCUCUAGCUGCCUACUAGAUAUUUCCACCUCUAUAUUUCAUAGGCUCCUCAACUCAACUUGUCCCCAACAGAGUUAAUCAUCCUUCCAAUAGCAUAUCCUCUUUUGGAGACACCAUCAUCUUGGGAGGCUCAUCUCCAAUGGUCAGGUGUCCUUAGCAAACACCUAGAAGAUUAAAAACCCUUCCUUACUGAACUCUUAGCCUCGUGCCUUACCCUUCUGGCCUUCUUGCAAAAGUGAUAUGCAUCAGAGAGUUGGCCCUCUGUAUUCAUGAGUUCCACAUCCCUGGAUUCAACCAACCACAGAUCAAAAAUAUUUUUUUCAAAAAUCGUGUCUAUACUGAACACAUACAGACUUUUUUCAUUGUCACCAUUCUAAACAAUACACUAUAACAACCAUUUACAUAACAUUGCAUUGUAUUUGGUACUAUGAAUUAUUUACAGAUGACUUAAAGUAUAUGGGAGUAUAUGCAUAGAUUAUAUGUAAAUACUAUACCAUUUUUUAUCAGGGACUUGGGCAUUUGUAGAUUUUGUUAUCCUUGGGAGGUCUUGGAACCAAUUCCCCAAGACACUGAGAGAUAACUGUAGACAAAUAUGAUCAUGCUACUGGAUCCCUCCAUCAUUUCUCCAUGUUUCUCCCUCAUAUUCAAGAUAAAAUUUAAAUUUCUUCACCUGGCUUAAUGGUAUUUUGUGAUCUGGACUCCAGAAAUUAGCUUAUCUUGAACACCUUAUCCUAGCUAUUUUUCAUCCUGGCAAUCCUGAACUUCUGACCAUUUUCUAUAGUCCAUGUUCUCUUACCCAUCUGAGACCCUGUACCCGCUGUCCCUCUAUCUCUGAAGUCUGCACUUCUUGUCUACAGGGCUGACUCCUACUCCAGCAUCUCAUUAAUCACUAUGCUAACACAAGAAGUCUUCAUCUGCUUCAGUUCUCAAAAGAAGUGAAAAGCAGACACUUCUCAAAAGAAGACAUUUAUGCAGCCAACAGACACAUGAAAAAAUGCUCAUCAUCACUGGUCAUCAGAGAAAUGCAAAUCAAAACCACAAUGAGAUAUCAUCUCACACCAGUUAGAAUGGCAAUCAUUAAAAAGUCAGGAAACAACAGAUGUUGGAGAGGAUGUGGAGAAAUAGGAACAAUUUUACACUGUUGGUGGGAAUGUAAACUAGUUCAACAAUUGUGGAAGACAGCGUGGCGAUUCCUUAAGGAUCUAGAACUGGAAAUACCAUUUGAACCAGUGAUCCCAUUACUGGGUAUAUACCCAAAGGAUUACAAAUCAUGCUACUAUAAAGACACAUGCACACGUAUGUUUAUUGCAGCACUAUUCACAAUAGCAAAGACUUGGAACCAACCCAAAUGUCCAUCAAUAAUAGACUGGAUUAAGAAAAUGUGGCACAUAUACACCAUGGAAUACUAUGCAGCAAUAAAAAAGGAUGAGUUCAUGUCCUUUGUAGGGACAUGGAUGUAGCUGGAAACCAUCAUUCUGAGCAAACUAUCACAACGACAGAAAACCAAACACCGUAUGUUCUCACUCAUAGGUGGGAACUGAACAAUGAGAACACUUGGACACAGGGCGGGGAACAUCACACACUGGGGCCUGUCAUGGGGUGGGGGGAGUGGGGAGGGAUAGCAUUAAGAGAAAUACCUAAUGUAAAUGAUGAGUUAAUGGGUGCAGCAAA
This is a non-coding RNA of Pan troglodytes (chimpanzee), 3256 nucleotides long. The record is from the annotation of a RefSeq genome assembly. Lineage: Eukaryota; Metazoa; Chordata; Mammalia; Primates; Hominidae.